AGAGUUUGAUCAUGGCUCAGAUUGAACGCUGGCGGCAGGCCUAACACAUGCAAGUCGAGCGGUAGCACAGAGAGCUUGCUCUCGGGUGACGAGCGGCGGACGGGUGAGUAAUGUCUGGGAAACUGCCUGAUGGAGGGGGAUAACUACUGGAAACGGUAGCUAAUACCGCAUGAUGUCGCAAGACCAAAGAGGGGGACCUUCGGGCCUCUUGCCAUCGGAUGUGCCCAGAUGGGAUUAGCUUGUAGGUGAGGUAACGGCUCACCUAGGCGACGAUCCCUAGCUGGUCUGAGAGGAUGACCAGCCACACUGGAACUGAGACACGGUCCAGACUCCUACGGGAGGCAGCAGUGGGGAAUAUUGCACAGUGGGCGCAAGCCUGAUGCAGCCAUGCCGCGUGUAUGAAGAAGGCCUUCGGGUUGUAAAGUACUUUCAGUCGGGAGGAAGGCAUUGAUGCUAAUAUCAUCAGCGAUUGACGUUACCGACAGAAGAAGCACCGGCUAACUCCGUGCCAGCCGCCGCGGUAAUUC
This 527-nucleotide ribosomal RNA is filed under the name uncultured bacterium. RNAcentral describes it as "bacterial SSU rRNA". It matches the Rfam family "Bacterial small subunit ribosomal RNA", at positions 8 to 526 of the family's 1533-position model. The record is from RNAcentral.